This 1149-nucleotide long non-coding RNA is filed under the name Numida meleagris (helmeted guineafowl). RNAcentral's name for it is "lncRNA (ENSNMEG00000012548.1)". Lineage: Eukaryota; Metazoa; Chordata; Aves; Galliformes; Numididae. The record is from RNAcentral.
UCUGCAAGCAUGUGAGCCAUUUCUAGGCUGCAGCUCUGGGGAAGGAGGCUCUAGGUCAUCCCACAAAUAAUACACAGCUGCGACACUGGAGGGCCUUUGUGCAGCACCAGACGUGCGUGUCCUAGAAGUACGUGAUGGAGCACAUCCUGGGAUGGAGGUGCCAUGGACUGGAAAAUCCUGCUCUGAACGUACAGGCUUGGCUGAGUCCGUGUCUGAAGAGCAAACUCUCAGGACCCAAGAACGUGGAGGCAGAAUGUGAGGUAUCUAUAGGUGUAUCUGUAUAUCUGCCCAGCUGGCCCAGCUGCCCCUGCUUCCCCCCUCCAUGGGAACUGCCCAUGCUGCCACUCCUGGAGUCCCUUCUGGCCACAGUGACCUGAGGCGAUUCCCCCUCCAUCCUCCCGUGCCCUGCCUGGUGCCCACCCCCACAGCAAUUCACAGUACCGGCACAGGCAGCGCAGGCGAGCUGUCUUCAACGCCCUCUGCAUCCCGCUGCACAAAGGAUUGCAGGCGGAGGCACAGCAAAGUGAGCACAAAACAUUUUGGAGGGGAGAGCUGGGGCUGGUGGUGGCAGCUGAGGGAUGCUGCCAUGUGUGUUGCCCCAUCCUGCCCUGGAGGUGGGCAUGGGGAGCUGGGGGGCUGUGACACUGCACAAAUGACUGCAGGCAGAGGUGUAGCAAAGGGAACACAAAGCGUUUAAUCACUUGUCAUUUCUCUUACUCAUUGUUUUGUAUGCUAAUAUUCCCAACCUAAUAUCCCCCAUCCUAACACUCAUGUCUGAUCCCGAAAAUCCCACCCAGAAUUUCCCACCUCCCUCAAAUUCCUCCUCCCCCCACUAUCCCACCCCUGAAUUUCCCUCCCACAAUUCCCACCCAAUAAUUACCCACCCCGCCAAAAUCCCACUUCAAUUUCCCCCCCUCCUAGUUUCCCUCUCCAACAGUUCUCCAGCCCCAAAUUCCCACCUUAAAAGUAUCCCACCCCCAACAUUUCCAUGCAAGAUUCCAGAAAAUUCCCACCCCGACAGAAGCCCACCCGAAAGCCACUUCCCACCCAAGAUUCCCACCCCAACAAGAUCCCACCCUGAAAGAAUUUCCCACCCCAAAUUCCCAACCCAACCGUAUCCCACCCCAAAACAAUUUCCCACCCCAGAUU